Molecule: ribosomal RNA, 603 nt
Filed under: uncultured fungus
Lineage: Eukaryota; Fungi
Description: eukaryotic LSU rRNA
Rfam family: Eukaryotic large subunit ribosomal RNA
Source: RNAcentral
ACCCGCUGAACUUAAGCAUAUCAAUAAGCGGAGGAAAAGAAACCAACAGGGAUUGCCCUAGUAACGGCGAGUGAAGCGGCAACAGCUCAAAUUUGAAAUCUGGCGUCUUUGGCGUCCGAGUUGUAAUUUGCAGAGGGCGCUUUGGCAUUGGCAGCGGUCCAAGUUCCUUGGAACAGGACGUCACAGAGGGUGAGAAUCCCGUACGUGGUCGCUAGCCUUUACCGUGUAAAGCCCCUUCGACGAGUCGAGUUGUUUGGGAAUGCAGCUCUAAAUGGGAGGUAAAUUUCUUCUAAAGCUAAAUACUGGCCAGAGACCGAUAGCGCACAGGUAGAGUGAUCGAAAGAUGAAAAGCACUUUGGAAAGAGAGUUAAAAAGCACGUGAAAUUGUUGAAAGGGAAGCGCUUGCAGCCAGACUUGCCUGUAGUUGCUCAUCCGGGUUUUUACCCGGUGCACUCUUCUAUAGGCAGGCCAGCAUCAGUUUGGGCGGUUGGAUAAAGGUCUCUGUCAUGUACCUCUCUUCGGGGAGAACUUAUAGGGGAGACGACAUGCAACCAGCCCGGACUGAGGUCCGCGCAUCUGCUAGGAUGCUGGCGUAAUGGCUGU